AGGCCUGUAGCUCAAUUGGCAGAGCAGCGGUCUCCAAAACCGCAGGUUGUGGGUUCAAGUCCCGCCGGGCCUGCCA
RNAcentral lists this transfer RNA (76 nucleotides) under Chloroflexota bacterium. RNAcentral's name for it is "Chloroflexi bacterium (groundwater metagenome) tRNA-Trp". It matches the Rfam family "tRNA". Rfam says of the family: Transfer RNA (tRNA) molecules are approximately 80 nucleotides in length. Their secondary structure includes four short double-helical elements and three loops (D, anti-codon, and T loops). Lineage: Bacteria; Bacillati; Chloroflexota. The record is from RNAcentral.